RNAcentral lists this ribosomal RNA (468 nucleotides) under uncultured bacterium. RNAcentral describes it as "partial 16S ribosomal RNA". The stretch from base 20 to 329 matches the Rfam family "Bacterial small subunit ribosomal RNA", at positions 47 to 358 of the family's 1533-position model. The record is from RNAcentral.
GACGAACGCUGGCGGCGUGCUUAACACAUGCAAGUCGAACGGAAAGGCCCUGCUUUUGUGGGGUGCUCGAGUGGCGAACGGGUGAGUAACACGUGAGUAACCUGCCCUUGACUUUGGGAUAACUUCAGGAAACUGGGGCUAAUACCGGAUAGGAGCUCCUGCUGCAUGGUGGGGGUUGGAAAGUUUCGGCGGUUGGGGAUGGACUCGCGGCUUAUCAGCUUGUUGGUGGGGUAGUGGCUUACCAAGGCUUUGACGGGUAGCCGGCCUGAGAGGGUGACCGGCAACAGGGGGAUGGAGCGAGGGAGGGGAGGAAGACGGGAGGCAGAAGGGGGGGAGAGGGGAGAGGGGGGGGGAGUUGGAAGCAGCAAUGCAGGGGGAGGGAGGAUGGGCGGAGGGUGGGAAAAAGAGUGCGACGGAGACGAAGGGGGAGGGACGGGAAUUGGUAAAGAAGAAAGCGCGAAAUAGGAG